Molecule: ribosomal RNA, 590 nt
Filed under: uncultured bacterium
Lineage: Bacteria
Description: bacterial SSU rRNA
Rfam family: Bacterial small subunit ribosomal RNA
Source: RNAcentral
CUUAGCAGGGGAUAACAUUUGGAAACAAGUGCUAAUACCGUAUAAUACCAACAACCGCAUGGUUGUUGGUUGAAAGAUGGUUCUGCUAUCACUAAGAGAUGGACCCGCGGUGCAUUAGCUAGUUGGUAAGGUAACGGCUUACCAAGGCAAUGAUGCAUAGCCGAGUUGAGAGACUGAUCGGCCACAAUGGGACUGAGACACGGCCCAUACUCCUACGGGAGGCAGCAGUAGGGAAUCUUCCACAAUGGGCGCAAGCCUGAUGGAGCAACGCCGCGUGUGUGAUGAAGGGUUUCGGCUCGUAAAACACUGUUAUAAGAGAAGAACGGCACUGAGAGUAACUGUUCAGUGUGUGACGGUAUCUUACCAGAAAGGAACGGCUAAAUACGUGCCAGCAGCCGCGGUAAUACGUAUGUUCCAAGCGUUAUCCGGAUUUAUUGGGCGUAAAGCGAGCGCAGACGGUUAUUUAAGUCUGAAGUGAAAGCCCUCAGCUCAACUGAGGAAUGGCUUUGGAAACUGGAUGACUUGAGUGCAGUAGAGGAAAGUGGAACUCCAUGUGUAGCGGUGAAAUGCGUAUAUAUAUGGAAGAACAC